Molecule: long non-coding RNA, 8378 nt
Filed under: Xyrichtys novacula (pearly razorfish)
Lineage: Eukaryota; Metazoa; Chordata; Actinopteri; Labriformes; Labridae
Source: RNAcentral
GAUUUUCCUUUAAUUGACCUCCAAAUGGGCCACCAUGCAUGAAAGAUGUUGACAGUGGAUGGCAUUUCACCCAAUGUUAGGUUUGUAUGUUAAUAUGCUGAUACUUAAAAAUAAAUAAAUAAAAUAUUACAAAAACACCUCUUUUUAAGUAGGAAUAUUUCAGUGAAUUGCUGGCUUUCUUUAAACUAAACAGCUUUUAUCAAUGACCCCUGUAAAGAUCAACCAGACUCAUCCCUCUAACGUUAUUUAAGGACCCUUGGUGCUGACUGUUGUUAAGUAGCGUUGGAACAGACACUGAAAUUAAAGAGCUAUUUUCUAGUUUUAGCAGCUUUCAAAUACAAAAAAAUAUACAAAAUGUUUCUUUAUUCAGCUCAAAAAAUCGCAAAGUUUGCGAACAUGGCAUUUCAAAAUGUAAUUUGCCAUCAUGGCUUUGCAAUCGUAUCAGUGGAAUUUGAGACAGAGUGAGUCCUCUUCUUGUUAUUAAUCACUCUCUGCUCUCAGUGAACCAAAGAGCUUUUAUAAAUACCCGAAGCCUGAGUGGAGACUUCAGCUGACACACACACUAAUCCAAAUUUAACCACAGAUUUUAUUUAAGAUCACAUUAAACUCCAUUAUUACAUCGUUUUUUUCUUUAUCUGGAUAUUUUUUCUCGCUGCGAUAACAGCGUAAAAAAUAAACCACAAAAUAGCUACAUAAAUCGAACUGAAAAGUCUCCGUACAAUGACUGAGUAGUUUUAGAUAAGAGAUACAGCAGCAUGAACGCGGUAAAUCUGCUGAGCCUGUUCAUCCUGCACACUCAGUUUCUGCUCACUUCGUCUGAUGAAUUCCAGUCCCCGUGCCAGGUACCUGUGACGUCACAGUGCGAACAGCCAAUCACAGAAUUCAGGCGCUGUUACCAAGCAGACUGUACUGCUGCCUCCCCCGCUUCAGGCUGUUGCCGAGCUAAGCUGACUGUACUCAAGAGGACAUACGGAGAGCUGAGCAGGACUAGUAAAAAGCCCCGUCACUCUGGAUUUAUCACAUAUUCUCGUUUGACAUUAAAACAGCGUUUGAUAGUUAGUGAACUAUUCUAAGACUGAACUUUAUUGAAAUAGAGCAAAAUAACACGCCAGCUGUCUAAAGUGUAAAAUGUUACUGUUUUACAAGGUAUUUAAGUUCACUUUAAUUUCAAUGUUAGCAACAUAUUUCAAAAAAAUUGUUAUGGGAACUAAACAAAAUGUUUGUGUAAAGCUUAACAUUCCACCAGAAACAUCUCCUACUAGCUACUAAGGUUAAUUUCUAACAGGUUAGUAAGACUGGAUAUCAAAAGGACAUUCAGUGAGGCAGAGUACUUUAGACGAAAUGGUGGGAAGAGGUUCACCACUCUGUGAGAUGUGUAUCUGUAUGUAAUAAGAAUCACAUUCACGGUCAAGUUUUUUACAGGGAAGGAGAGCAGUAAGGGUCAAAUUUAGGGUCAGAAGAGACUAAAAUGAAGGAUUCUGGUGCAGAAAUAGCAACUGUAGGGUGAUGGUUUUGGUGUCUGGCCAGAAGUGACUCAGCAGCAUCAUCUAUUACUCACUGCUGCUUCGUCUACAUUUGUCCCUGUGCUUUCAGGCCUAACGGCAUCAUGACAGGGCCUGCCUCACACCCAGCUGAUGGAAAAAAAAAAGAACAGAAGAAUAAGAAGAAAGGAAAAGGAGAGGAGGAGGAUGUUUUUCUUCUGGUUCAGACUUGGUGGCUGCAGGAAAAUGUGCAGAGCAAAGACCUGUUUGCAUCCUGGGAAGAGUUUGUGUGCUGAGUUAAGUCAAAUCUAUGAUGAAGGAGAGGAAAUUCUUACAAAGGUUAAAGGUGAUGUAUAACAGCAGCACAUAAGUCUGUAUAAAAGUAAAAAUUUAAGUUUUAAAUUCAUCUGUAUCAUUGUCUGUGAUUGACUCCAGAUAAGUACUGCUUGUUGCUUGCCGCUCCUUAAAGCACUGGGCCCUAAUUUCAAUUCAGUGAAUAUGUUUUCCUAAAACGUAAAUGUAAGCAGUCAUGAUAGAUAUCCCUUUUUUAUCUACAGAAAGAAAUCAAAUGGCAACCAACAAACAGAAAAAAUCUGGGUGUGGUGGGAGCCCCGAGCCACCAGGUCAUGGUUAUCCAAUUCUCUGUUGAAAGGGCAACUGAACUUGCUUGAGUUUCUUGAAGACAUUUUGCCUCUUUUUCAAAAGGCAGAACUAAAGAUGCCUUUUGGAAGAGAGGCGGAACGUCUUCAAGAAUCUCAAGCAAGUCUAGUUGCCCUUUCAAUGAAGAAUUGGAUUCUGCAUUAUCAUUUCUAAAGAUCAGAGGCAGCCACUUGAUACAGAAAGAUAAAGCAAGAACCAAAAACACAUACUUAACCCAAACAUCAUUAGAAAUCAACAACAUUAAUUAGCACAAAAACUGUAAAAUGAUGCAGAAAUUUUUGAGUGUUUAAUAAAGUUGAACAAGAUGAAAGCAACAGAAUGUGAUUGAAAUAAAAGAACGAGAUCGAAGUAAUAAAAUGAGAUCAACAUGAUAGAAUGAGAUCAAUGUGAAACAAAGAGAUCAAAGUAUAAAAUGCGAUCCAAGCGAUAAGUAAUAGAAGUGACACAAUGGAUCAGCUACUCAUACUACAAACAGAGACAGGAACACUUCUGUACUGGAAUCCAAAUCCAAACUACUUUCAAAUUAUUGUAGAUUUGAAAGGAAAGCAACUGAAUGGUGUUCCUAUCGCAACAACUUUGAAAUAUCUUUGCUGCAUUUGGUCCAGUGGUGGAGAUCAGCAUGUCUGUUGUCGGUCUCAGCAUUUCUCCUAAUAAUCUGCAGAUUUAACCCCCCGCCCCCAAAUCCCCUAGAUCAGCUGACUAAUACCUCCCAUGGUGUAGAGGAGAAGAGGGAAAUCCUUCAUGUGAUUUCAUUUCUCAGAUGGAAACACAAACAUGAACAGGAGCGACAUUUCACACGUCAGUCAUUCUGCACUUAAAAUACACACCAACACACACUGGGCCUGAUCUCUUAAAGGUUUGCCAACAAAAACAUUUGCAAAUUUGAUAGCACGCAAAGCUCAUCUACUAACAGGGUGUACUGAGGAUUGUGCCUGGAAAAUGAACAAAACAGCAUGCGCGAUCGAUGUAGCGUGUUUGCCUUCACGAAUAUGCAGAAUGUACGUAGAUUAUCAGAACACGCAAAAUUCAGGGAGGAGCAGAUGCAAAUGGAAUCAUAUAGCACCCGCAGUGUGUUUUAUGAAGCCCGCAAACCGAUCGCGGUCACUUUUUAGUGUCUAUAUUUAGCAUAUUUGAAAGGCACGUGCAAACUGGCACAGCGUUAAGCACAAAUGGCUACAGUCAUUUGGGGAGAAAGAGGCGAAAGUGCAAUGAUAGACGAUGGAGAGAAAGAGAGUCUUCCGUGUGUCAACAUAUUUGGACUGUCAGAAAUAAAAAUAGUAGAGUAAUAUCAAUAGUUAUGCCAUUUUUGAGCUGCUGGAUGACCUAAGGGCUUAUUUGGAGCCAGUCACAAAAAUGAUCAAUGCCAUAUCUCUUAUUAAAAAACUCCCUGUAACACUGCAUUUUCCUGUGUCUGGAUCAUUCAAGCGCACCAGCACAGUUGGUGCGUCUCCCAGAAUAAUUUUUCUGGUGUGCUGUCCCAAGUGUUGAAUGCUAUGUCACGCAGGAUGGGCAAGUACGUCCAGUUCUUACGCAUUCAGAACGCAGUAAAUCACAGAAAACUUAGCAGGUCUUGGGGGCUGUUGAGUCUUGAAGACUGGGGCUGAGUGCUACAGAGCUCUGAGAUUAAAAACCUGUGAUUUAUAGUUUUUCUGAUAAAUGACAGUUUUCAUAAAUAAUGAGAUUUAAAAAAAUCAUCUGUUUGUCUUAUUGAUUUUAAAUUGUUUUAAUCCCUUUUUUGAUUUUGAAUAUAUUUUCUUGCAUCUGUGAAGCACCUCAAAUUGCCUUGUGUAUGAAUGGUGCUACAUACAAAAAACCUGUCUUGCUUGCCUUGCCUUUUAUGCAAUUCCCCAAAACAAUACGUGCAACUCCAUGGGUUCAAACUUUCAUCACCCACAACAUGCCCACUAAUGGCACGUGGAAUUUCUUAGUUUGCACACGCAAUUUAGCGCUUGUGAUUUGGGAGCUCAGCAGAGCAGGCCCACUGUGUAUAUUUUAUCAUUUAAAGCUCAGUUUUACACCAGAAUCAGACAGGAAAUACAGGUUACAGGAAAUUUUAAAAAUAAAUUCAGACAGAGAGGUGAGCAAAUUUUUAGUCUGCUCGGAUUCUAACAUGUUACAGUGACUGCAACAGUCUAUCAGCCUGUGAAGCGGUAAUAGAUAUUGCUUCAGGCUCAUGAAGUUUCAUGUCAGCCAUGUUUUCUGCCUGAUAAGUGCCUCUUUAAAUAACCUCCCUGUGGGACACUCACAGAUUUGCAAACUCGGCCUCAUGUCUUCAAGGGUCAACCCAGCCAGUUUACUUAGCCCAGCACUUUCACAUGGAGGGAGGGGGGAUUCUGCUCAGUGGGAAUCCAGCCCAGAAAGUGGCAGAGAUGAAAGUCACGUAGGGGUCAAAGUAGAACUUUUUAAAGGUUUACAGUUCAAGACAUGGACUCAUCAUUCAUUUGAAGCUUUUUUACCUGAGGGUUUCUGGACACAUGAAAAUCACCCGGCUUCAGACAGCUGGAACAAAUAGCAUCGUCAAAUUGAGUAGAUAUGGUUACGGUUGUUGACAUCCACAUGUAGCAGCUCAGUGCAACAUGAUCCUUUUUUUGGGGGCUGUGUUCGUCCGUGUGAUGAACAGGAGCAGUGCCAAUCUGCUGGAGGAGGUUCAGGGGACUUCCCUUGCUGCAGCCGUGGAACUAUUUUUACCUCCAGCGAGACUAAAAUUAAUCCUCCCUUCCCUAUGAGAUUAAUGCUGCUUCAAAAACAGAGAUAAUAUGUAAGGGAUAAUGUACAGUGAGCGAGUGAUUAUGCAAAUUAGAACCCACCAGCGUGAGACAAAACCCUGAUGGUUGUAUUUCAGGUCAGGUCAGCCGUACUCCUAAUUAUACAGUUUUAUACAUGUAAUAUCUUAGUGAUGCAAAACACAACAUAUUAGUUGUAUCAGCUAUAGUGAUACAGGGUAUAAAAAAUGUAUCUCCAUAAACAAAGGACACUGUGGGUCGUGGGCUCAGCACUUACCAACCAAAUGAAAGAGGGAGAGAGUCCACUGAACGAAAACCUCAGAGCUGACUGAACUAAAGUAAACAUCUGUCAAAGUUUCUGGUGCUGCAAAAACAGAGAGGAUGAACACUUAAACUCCCAGAAUCUGUCUUCUGACAGCCUUGAAUAUUAACAGCUAAUAUUGUGUCCAGAGGUUGACUGACUAAAAAUUAUUCUGUGUCUUUUUGUGUUUUGUGUUUUGCAGAUGCUCUAACAGUGUAUUUUGUCUUGCAUUUCUGCGACCACUGCUGAGCUGUUUGCUGAUUUUGUCUUUAUAAAAACAGUGUUUGGCAGAUCUCUCCGUCCGCUCUCACAGACAUUGUUAAUUGCCAACAAUUUGACACAGUUUCAAAUGUCUUUUCAUUAAACGUUGCGUUUAAAGUCCAUCCUACAGGACUGCACUGGCUAAUCUGAUUCUCUGUUUGAAUUUGAGGCCAAAUCUUAAUUAUUUGGAUGGCUGACAGUUCCUGUGAUUGAGACGAGAUAAAACAGAAAUGUGAUUUAUUUUGUGCCCUGAAUGCAUCAUCUGUUUGCUGCCAUCAAAGCCCGCGCUGCGUGCACGGCGGCGCUUCAUUUACCAAACACUGUGUUUAAAAAUUAAAGCUGUUUUAGCACAUCAAAGCUAACGCUACAAAGCUGUUUGCUCAAUUAUUAAGAGGCUCCCUUCACUGAAGCCGAGCAAAACGUCCACAUCAGGAGGUGGGUUACUGACUGUGAACGCAACAGGACAAAAAGACACAGUUUUAAGUUGCUAUCAGGAGAAACAAGUGCUCUAAAUGUGUGAGUAAAUGUUCUUUGACCUUGUCUGGAGUCACAGUUUUGAGAUUUAAAAUAAUAAAAACCCUUUGGUUUGAUCUGAAGUAUGACAUUAAAAUAUCUGUAAAUACUUGCCCCUUCAUUCCUUAAACAGUUUUUCUUUCUGUUGGGCCAAGCAGCAGCUUCUUCUGUUGAAAAAUCAAACUAAAGUGGACUUUAAAACACCGGCAGUUCCCCAAGUGUCAGCAAGAGGCUGUCUCCAAAUGUGAGUUACUCGCCAUAGGUAACUAUGUCCAGUCACAACCUCAAUUUCAGUGCGCUUCACAGCGCUGUCCAGCUGGUGUUGCAAAAACUCAAAUAUUAGCACCAAUUUUCUUGAGGCAACCUCCCAAAAGGCUAAAUUCAGCUGUAUCUGAGAUGGUCAAAAUUUCUGGGUAAAUGUGUAGUUAAGCCUAAUAAGGACUUUUUAGAAAAAGUAUAAAAGAAAUACAAAAAGUUUUCUGCAGUGUAGGUCCUGAUAGUUGCACUUCUGCUUCCGCUGGCAGUGUCUGGAACUGUGUACAUAAUAUUUGCUGCAUUUUGAUGGAAUUUUACGAAUUUAAGUUUUAUAGAUUGAUAAAAGUUGUGUCAGCAAAAUCAUAAACAUGAACAUAAAUAAAUAAAUACAUAUUAGCUUCCCCGUCAAUGCAUAGACUUCUUAGUUAAACCCCUUUAAUGCAACAUUGUAUCUCCUCCUGUCUGUAAUUUGCGAACAGACUUAGCACUUCAGUCUCUUAACUUUAUGUUAUUGUCAGUAAUUAGCCGCUUCCUGUUUACUGGGACGCCGUAGCUGCUUUUUUCUUCUUCUCCCUCCUCCAGCUGCAGGACUGUUGGCACAGCACCAAUAACAGUCUGUUUACCAUUUCAACAAACUCAUCUCCAUCUAAUUUAUAUGCCGAGAGCCUCUCCUCAGAGUCAGACAGGCCUUGCUGUGCAGGAACAGACCCCAUCACAACGACUCAUCAACCUUCCUGGAGAGAUAAAGGCUCAGGAAAAAAACUCGCUGAUGUGCUGCUUUAAAUCAAUAAGAGCCGCGAGCCAAAGGUGACGCAGUUUAUGAUCAGCUUUUCCCGUCAAUAACUGAUUUAAAUAUACUCCAAAAUGUUUAAAACAUUCUUUACUUUGCAUAGGUCUUACGUAGCAGACAUUAGCACCUCGAUGAAACAACUUCAGGCUCAAUAAUAUAAAACUGCAAUUCCUUGUGUGCCCACUAGAUGCUGGCUCCAAAAGUGAGUCAAUCCCCAUAGAACUCCAUGUUAAAAAGUCCAACUUUACAGCAGAAUUAAUCAUGUUUACAGCCUUAUUCAAAAGACAGCCUUGAAGUUAAUUUCUUUCAUCAGUCAGGGCCAAAAAAACACAUUUUUAUUGGCUUUGUAAAAAAUAUAUAUAUAAAAAAAAAUGUCAGCACAGCACCCUCUCAAUAUUUUAUAUUUUUUAAACCUUCAGCCCUCCAACUUACAUGCAUGAUUUUUGCACAUUGCAGCGUGUUAAUGAUUGUGCUACUUUCUCCUCCAAAUUUGUAGCUGCCACACGGGCAGAUCCUGCUGUACGUCUACAGAAGUCCAUCAUCCCUAUAUUGUUAUGAAUUGUUGUGAUCAGGGGCUGUUUUAAGGUCCACUAUGAUGCAAACAAGUCAUUUAUAAUAAGGGAAAAAACUUAAGAAACUUUCAGUGUCCUGUUGCACUUUUUUCCCGUUAUGUCAGAAGAAGAUUCAACAAGAUGGUCGUUAGUGUUUCUGUCAGAUUGUUAUUCUGCUAAAGGUGCUUUUUUGAGUGUGUUAUCCCAUACACCAUCACCAGAGAUACGGCACCCAUCAGACAUUUUUAAAAUGGACGUCCGAGUAAAAAAAAAAAAACAGCGGAAAAACUCUUUUGGACGCCUCGCAUCUGGAACCAGAGCUGUGUUGAUGUCACUGCAAGGGGACAAGAGGAAAACAACGAGGCUCUCUUUUUCCCUUCGUCUCUCCCCCUAAUCCUCUUUGCUGGCCUGCAGGGAGCACUGGGAUGACUGCCAAGGCAAGGGCUGCUGGGAAAACGAAGCUGCUGCCAAGUGGGAGCGGUGGCGGCAGCGUUGCACUCAGCUUUGUUCUGCCAGAGGCCUUGAUUCAGACUUUAUGAUUGGGCUGGGCCCUCGCCAACCUGAAGCUCCGCCCACCUCUCACUCUUACUUUAUUUUGUUUACCCACUUUGACUCUGUCACACACUUUUUUGUUUUCUGUUCCUCUGACACACACAAAACAUCUCUCUCUCUCUCUGCAGCCUGUACUCGUUCGCCCCGGCUCAGAGCCAAGGACUUCCUGCCAAACAUUCGUCAGUUGCCAUGGCGGCAGAGAGAGCAAGGAAAGCAGAGCAUCAGGGCGAGCCAAGAAUAAUGAGUCACUCCUGGAGCCAGAUGUGCCACAUCUGCAGCCACGAGGGGGUU